This 107-nucleotide small nucleolar RNA is filed under the name Olea europaea subsp. europaea. The record is from RNAcentral. Lineage: Eukaryota; Viridiplantae; Streptophyta; Magnoliopsida; Lamiales; Oleaceae.
AAUCUAGGUUAUGGGCAUUGUCAGAGUAGACUCUUGUAUCGCUCACAAGCAUCUGAAGAACAUUCAGAGUCCAACUAUUGGAAUGUGGUAAUCUUUUCUAUAAGCUU